GAAACCUGCCCCGAAGACCGGGAUAGCCCGGGGAAACCCGGAUUAAUACCGGAUAUUCUCUACAGAUCGCAUGGUCUGUUGAGGAAAUGCUUUUGUGCUUCGGGAUGGUCUCGCGACCUAUCAGCUAGUUGGUGAGGUAACGGCUCACCAAGGCAACGACGGGUAGCUGGUCUGAGAGGACGAUCAGCCACACUGGGACUGAGACACGGCCCAGACUCCUACGGGAGGCAGCAGCAGGGAAUCUUGUCCAAUGGGCGAAAGCCUGAGACAGCGACGCCGCGUGGGGGAUGAAGGCCUUCGGGUUGUAAACCCCUUUCAGGAGGGACGAAAUUGACGGUACCUCCAGAAGAAGCCCCGGCCAACUACGUGCCAGCAGCCGCGGUAAUACGUAGGGGGCGAGCGUUGUCCGGAAUUAUUGGGCGUAAAGGGCUCGUAGGCGGCUUGGCAAGUCGAUCGUGNAAAGCCCGGGGCUUANCCCCGGGGAGGCCGGUCGAUACUGCCAUGGCUUGGGUCCGG
Molecule: ribosomal RNA, 516 nt
Filed under: uncultured bacterium
Lineage: Bacteria
Description: bacterial SSU rRNA
Rfam family: Bacterial small subunit ribosomal RNA
Source: RNAcentral